AAGAGUAAAGUACUUCCGCUUCCUUAGGUGGAGCUGGAAAGGUGGAGGCGGAAGUGACUGAUCAAUUCAGGGGCGUGGGGUUCGUUUAGGUUUUGCCCUGUGUAUGACCUCGUUUGGAGCCAUGAAACCAGGUGGCUUUUCUACAAUAUAAAGAUGGAAAUGGGAAGAAGAUGUUCAUUGCAAAUUAAGGAAGCUCUUCCACGAGUUCACGAAUGGAAAUAACAUCAAGAGUUUUUCAUCUUCUUAGUGUGCAAGGUAUGGAUAUUCUGUGUGUGAACUUCAAGAGUAUCUAAGGGAGGCAAUAACAUGGUUGAUAAUAUACCAGAGACUACAAACUGUCUGUGCAUCCCAGAGGAACAGGAAGCUUGUGCAGGUGAAAAGACUGGAGGAGGAAGUAUGUUGAUGAUACCCAGGAAGCCCACCUUCCACUUCUUUGGUCAUCAGAAAUAAAUAUCAAGGAGUGCAAUUCCUGGAUUUAUGAUGUCUGAGGAAUAGUCUUAGUGGAUUAUCCCAAACUUGACACAUUUUUUGCAAAAUGCUAUACAAAAAGAAGAUACAUGCGAUUAUGACAAGAUUCUCCACUUGGUGUGACCAGUCUCAUACAACCCAAGGCUGUGUGUCCAAAGGCAACUGUACUGAUCUUGACAAUAAUCAAAAGGUAGCCAGGUGCAUCGGGGAAAGCACUGACAUUGGAGUCAGACAGACUGAAGUUCAUAUCUGAUUCUGCUAUAUGACAACGUGUGGGCUAUGUGGCUAACUUCUCAGAGCUUCAGUUUUCUCAAGGGCAAAAUGAAAAUAAUAGAAAUAAUAGAAUCCACCUCACAGGGCUGUGGUGAGAAUUGGAGAUGAAGCACAUACAGCAUAUUACAUCAACUAAACACAUGCUAAAAAUUAAAGGGGAUGAAAGAUACAUUGGUCCCUGCAGUGGGAAGUUUCCUUGACAAUGCAAUUAUUGAUUCCAGAAGGCUGAACAAAUGUUGACAGAGGAACACACUGUUUGCUUAUGUCUAAUCUUCCCAUCUGACUUAUAUAAAUGUCACAAAUGAAUCUCAGACAUGUGCCCAAUAUCAAAUAUCCAUACGAUGGCCCUGGAAAGAGGCAAUCUACAUUUAUGGCUGAUGAGAAGAUGGAUUUUUAGCUUGAAAGAAACUUAUUACUGGGGAGAGGAAGUAUAAAUGAAUGGAGAGAGCUAUGAAGAGGUUGAGAGAAUACAGCCAAGGCACAUGACAGAAUUGCUCUGUUGAAGUUUUGCAAGGUCAAAUGACUCACUUUGUCUAAUGGAACGGGAACGAACAAUUUUUUUGUGUCACGUUUGAACAGAUACCUUUGAGAAGUUUAUGAUUCUCCAAGUUCUCUUUCUCCUACUGUGGCACCUACUGACAAGAUAAAUGUGUAGAGGUUCCUGAGUCUAGGGGCACUGGAACCAGCUGACUGAUCUAUGGAAGUUCCCUUGGUCUCCAUUUGUUUAGAAAAGGGAUGAAGAAACUGAGGCCCACAGAAGGUGGGUGAUACCUGCAAAAUCACAAGCUUUCAUGGUGAAAGAAGAGGGCAAAACUCAACCCGUCUCUUUAGACUUGGGAAGAAUAUGAAAGGACCAGGAGGGACACCUUUCCUAAUAACCUAGCUGAUGGUUCACUUAUUGUAAGCACAUUCUCAAACAAGAGGCUGGAAAGCUGAAAAAUGACAUUCCCAGACUCCAUUGAAAUUAGAUUUCCAGAGAGUUGUCUCACUAAGCCCAAAUUUGUCUAACUGGCCUUAUUUCCCUGGAGUAUAUCCUGGAAGUUUCCAUUCAAGCCAAUUUAAGUUACUUUAAAUUAGGAAAGGCAGAAAACAAAAGCCCAAACCUUUGUAAAGGAGGAGGAUUUGCUACAUUGUUCUCAAUUCAUCACAGAAGAGGAUGAAACUGAGUGAUUACACUUGCUGGAGAGAAAAAAAGUCCUUCCCCCGCUCACCCCAAAUAAAGCAUUAACUUUAUGUUAAUCCAUGAA
RNAcentral lists this long non-coding RNA (1988 nucleotides) under Homo sapiens (human). RNAcentral's name for it is "PREDICTED lncRNA (TCONS_00005061)". The record is from RNAcentral. Lineage: Eukaryota; Metazoa; Chordata; Mammalia; Primates; Hominidae.